AGUGAACGCUGGCGGUAGGCCUAACACAUGCAAGUCGAACGGCAGCACAGUAAGAGCUUGCUCUUACGGGUGGCGAGUGGCGGACGGGUGAGGAAUACAUCGGAAUCUACUUUUUCGUGGGGGAUAACGUAGGGAAACUUACGCUAAUACCGCAUACGACCUACGGGUGAAAGCAGGGGAUCUUCGGACCUUGCGCGAUUGAAUGAGCCGAUGUCGGAUUAGCUAGUUGGCGGGGUAAAGGCCCACCAAGGCGACGAUCCGUAGUUGGUCUGAGAGGAUGAUCAGCCACACUGGAACUGAGACACGGUCCAGACUCCUACGGGAGGCAGCAGUGGGGAAUAUUGGACAAUGGGCGCAAGCCUGAUCCAGCCAUACCGCGUGGGUGAAGAAGGCCUUCGGGCUGUAAAGCCCUUUUGUUGGGAAAGAAAAGCAGCAGGUUAAUACCCCGCUGUUCUGACGGUACCCAAAGAAUAAGCACCGGCUAACUUCGUG
This 492-nucleotide ribosomal RNA is filed under the name uncultured bacterium. Its description in RNAcentral is "partial 16S ribosomal RNA". It matches the Rfam family "Bacterial small subunit ribosomal RNA", at positions 29 to 507 of the family's 1533-position model. The record is from RNAcentral.